Molecule: non-coding RNA, 48 nt
Filed under: Schistosoma mansoni
Lineage: Eukaryota; Metazoa; Platyhelminthes; Trematoda; Strigeidida; Schistosomatidae
Source: RNAcentral
AUCCAGUUGACGAGUCUCAAAUAAGACGAAACGCGAGUCAAACUGAAU